GGAGAGAUGGCUGAGUGGUUUAAAGCGAUAGACUGUAAAUCUAUUUAUAUUAAUAUAUAACCGUAGGUUCAAAUCCUACUUUCUCUA
Molecule: transfer RNA, 87 nt
Filed under: Plocamium cartilagineum
Lineage: Eukaryota; Rhodophyta; Florideophyceae; Plocamiales; Plocamiaceae
Description: tRNA-Tyr
Rfam family: tRNA
About the family: Transfer RNA (tRNA) molecules are approximately 80 nucleotides in length. Their secondary structure includes four short double-helical elements and three loops (D, anti-codon, and T loops). Further hydrogen bonds mediate the characteristic L-shaped molecular structure. tRNAs have two regions of fundamental functional importance: the anti-codon, which is responsible for specific mRNA codon recognition, and the 3' end, to which the tRNAs corresponding amino acid is attached (by aminoacyl-tRNA synthetases). tRNAs cope with the degeneracy of the genetic code in two manners: having more than one tRNA (with a specific anti-codon) for a particular amino acid; and 'wobble' base-pairing, i.e. permitting non-standard base-pairing at the 3rd anti-codon position.
Source: RNAcentral